CCAGCUGUGGCGCAGCUGGCUGGGGCACCUGCAUCGUACGCCGGCGACCCGGGUUCGAUUCCCGCCCCGUGGU
Molecule: transfer RNA, 73 nt
Filed under: Alosa alosa (allis shad)
Lineage: Eukaryota; Metazoa; Chordata; Actinopteri; Clupeiformes; Clupeidae
Description: tRNA-OTHER
Source: RNAcentral